Molecule: ribosomal RNA, 209 nt
Filed under: uncultured bacterium
Lineage: Bacteria
Description: partial 16S ribosomal RNA
Rfam family: Bacterial small subunit ribosomal RNA
Source: RNAcentral
UACGUAGGGUGCAAGCGUUAAUCGGAAUUACUGGGCGUAAAGCGUGCGCAGGCGGUUAUGUAAGACAGAGGUGAAAUCCCCGGGCGUCAACCUGGGAACGUGCGCUUGUGACUGCCUCACUAGAGUACGGCAGAGGGGGGUGGAAUUCCACGUGUAGCAGUGAAAUGCGUAGAGAUGUGGAGGAACACCGAUGGCGAAGGCAGCCCCCU